GUGGUUGUAGCUUAGUGGUAGAGCACUUGCCUAGCAUGUGUGAGGCACUGAGUUCAAUUCUCAGCAUCACA
This 71-nucleotide transfer RNA is filed under the name Ictidomys tridecemlineatus (thirteen-lined ground squirrel). RNAcentral describes it as "Spermophilus tridecemlineatus (thirteen-lined ground squirrel) tRNA". It matches the Rfam family "tRNA". Rfam says of the family: Transfer RNA (tRNA) molecules are approximately 80 nucleotides in length. Their secondary structure includes four short double-helical elements and three loops (D, anti-codon, and T loops). Lineage: Eukaryota; Metazoa; Chordata; Mammalia; Rodentia; Sciuridae. The record is from Rfam by way of RNAcentral.